UGUUUGUGCACAUUUUUUGCGUGACUCUGCAUUUUCCUCGGAGAUUAAGAGGGUCUCAUAAAGAAAUCACCCUUUCUGAAAUAGGCGAUUUGCUUUUCAAUACAUUGCAUAACAUCUGCUCUAAAGGAAGUGAGGGAGAGAAGCACAAGCCGGAGGAAAAGACAGCCCUGCAAAGUCGUAGGACCCCGGAUCUGAAGGGCAAAAGCUGAAGGAUUAUAUUUCCACGCUCAAAGAACAGGGCCAUGAAUCUAAUGUUGGCCAAGAUUCCUAUACUUGACAGAGGUACCAGUUCAUCACAGCAACUUAUAUAACCUUGAAACACAUGCCUGAAUACAUGUGUCUUACUUGUGGGUUUAGAAGAAAGCGCUUGUCACAUAUUACUUUUCCACUGUAAUCCCCCAACCAUCAACUUGAAGGAAAGGAAGGAAGAAAAGAAGAAAAGGAGGAAGGAAAGAAGGACGGAAAAAGAGUAGACCACUGGUCGCAGAGUGCUCCUUGGGUUGAGAAGGAGAAACGACAAAGAAGGGAGCCCUGCUGGAGCCUCUCAAAACUGAAAGAGCACUACAGUUUCAUUCACUGUCCCCACUACUAGUCUUCUGCAAGCCUUAAGAGUUAUAUUCCUCAGUUGGAGAAGCUUUGAUCCAGUGUUCAGUUAAUAAAAUAAUUUUUCCAGAAAUUUACAUUGGAUUAUAUAUAUGGUAAAAUAAUGGAAUUUUAAUAUUUAACUCGUUUGCUUGUUUCUGAAUAUCAUUUCCCAAGGAAUUAUAUUGAACUUUAUUAACUUAAUAAAAAAAUACAGAUUCUGUGUUACGUAAAAUAAUGGCACACUGGUUGCUUAAUGAUUUAUAAGAAUUAAUUCUUCAUCUUAAAUGGAAGAAAUUCUAAACUUUCAACAUUUCAAGCAUUUCAUUUUGUUUUUUAUUUACAAAGAGAAAUAAGAAGCUCUCCAGAGAAAAUUUCUGUGCAAGCAAAAUGUGUUCCAAAAAGACUUGUGAAACUCUAUUUGAUAUUGUUAUCUACUAAGAGAGAGAAUGAAAUUAUCACUUGAUAAAGCCCAAAGAAAACUUGAUGGUCUCAGAUAAAAUGAGUGAUCUUUGCAGAGGAAAAGUACUUCACAGAAGCCGGAAACUGGGACACCAAAGGGAGGAAACUGGUACUAGAAUAUUUCACUUAAUGACUAUAUGACAAGUCCAUCACAGGUCAUUAUUUACAGGUCAUUUUCCUGUCAAUUGUAGGAAUCCUGGCCUUAAUCAUUUGUGUCAACACACACUUCCGUAUAAAAACUUCCAACAUGAUACAGAUAAUUCUGAGAAACACGAUAUGUGUUCUGACAAUUUUGUGCUUUCCUUUUGACUCUGAAUUUGCCAAGAUAUUUCCUGUUAACUCCUUGGCAUGAGUGUUUUUAAGUGUCUCUUACUGAUGCCAGCACUGGGUGUCAUGCUGGGAAAAUCCAGUUUUUGAAAGGAAAAUUACAAAGCAUUGUGGUCAGCAUUAAAUUUAAAGGAACAUUGCUACUACUUUUAAAUACAUUUCCACAGUUAGGUAUUUGAUUAUUUUAGACAGAAUUUCUUUGUAGCAUCAUAACAGAAUUUCUUUUUUAGCAUCUUUACAGAGGUAUAAUUGAUAUACAAAGAACUGCACAUAUUUAAUGUGUACAAUUUGAUGAGUUUGGACAUAUGCAAACACCCGUGAUACCAUCACUACAAUCAAGGUAAUAGACAUAUCUAACACAUUCCAGAGUUUCCUCGUGUCCCUCUGUUUCGUUUUAUUUUUGGUGGUAAGAACAUUUAACUUGAGUUAGACCCCUUAACAAAUUUUAAGUGCACAAUACUGUAUUGUUAACCCUAGGCACUCUAUUGUACAGCAGAUCUCUGGAAUUUAUUCAUCUAGCAUAACUGAAACAUGCUCAUUGAACAAUAACUCCACAUUUCUUUCCCCUGCAGCCCCUGGCAACCACUGUUGUAUUCGCUACUUCAAUGAAUUGGACUACUUUCGAUGCCUCAUAUAAGAGGAAUCAUGAAGUAAUUGCCCUUCUUUAACUAGGUCAUUUCAUUUGGCGUAAUGUCCUCUAGGUUCAUCCAUGUUGUCGUAAAUAGCAGCAUUUCUUUCUUUUUUAAGGUUGAGUAAUAUUCACU
Molecule: long non-coding RNA, 2135 nt
Organism: Equus caballus (horse)
Lineage: Eukaryota; Metazoa; Chordata; Mammalia; Perissodactyla; Equidae
Source: RefSeq, a predicted model, not a curated record